GCAGUCGAGCGGAACGAGUUGUCUGAACCUUCGGGGAACGAUAACGGCGUCGAGCGGCGGACGGGUGAGUAAUGCCUGGGAAAUUGCCCUGAUGUGGGGGAUAACCAUUGGAAACGAUGGCUAAUACCGCAUAAUAGCUUCGGCUCAAAGAGGGGGACCUUCGGGCCUCUCGCGUCAGGAUAUGCCCAGGUGGGAUUAGCUAGUUGGUGAGGUAAUGGCUCACCAAGGCGACGAUCCCUAGCUGGUCUGAGAGGAUGAUCAGCCACACUGGAACUGAGACACGGUCCAGACUCCUACGGGAGGCAGCAGUGGGGAAUAUUGCACAAUGGGCGCAAGCCUGAUGCAGCCAUGCCGCGUGUAUGAAGAAGGCCUUCGGGUUGUAAAGUACUUUCAGCAGUGAGGAAGGUGGUAGUGUUAAUAGCACUAUCAUUUGACGUUAGCUGCAGAAGAAGCACCGGCUAACUCCGUGCCAGCAGCCGCGGUAAUACGGAGGGUGCGAGCGUUAAUCGGAAUUACUGGGCGUAAAGCGCAUGCAGGUGGUUUGUUAAGUCAGAUGUGAAAGCCCGGGGCUCAACCUCGGAAUAGCAUUUGAAACUGGCAGACUAGAGUACUGUAGAGGGGGGUAGAAUUUCAGGUGUAGCGGUGAAAUGCGUAGAGAUCUGAAGGAAUACCGGUGGCGAAGGCGGCCCCCUGGACAGAUACUGACACUCAGAUGCGAAAGCGUGGGGAGCAAACAGGAUUAGAUACCCUGGUAGUCCACGCCGUAAACGAUGUCUACUUGGAGGUUGUGGCCUUGAGCCGUGGCUUUCGGAGCUAACGCGUUAAGUAGACCGCCUGGGGAGUACGGUCGCAAGAUUAAAACUCAAAUGAAUUGACGGGGGCCCGCACAAGCGGUGGAGCAUGUGGUUUAAUUCGAUGCAACGCGAAGAACCUUACCUACUCUUGACAUCCUCAGAACAUACUGGAGACGGACUUGUGCCUUCGGGAACUGAGAGACAGGUGCUGCAUGGCUGUCGUCAGCUCGUGUUGUGAAAUGUUGGGUUAAGUCCCGCAACGAGCGCAACCCUUAUCCUUGUUUGCCAGCGAGUAAUGUCGGGAACUCCAGGGAAACUGCCGGUGAUAA
RNAcentral lists this ribosomal RNA (1123 nucleotides) under Vibrio sp. RNAcentral describes it as "bacterial SSU rRNA". It matches the Rfam family "Bacterial small subunit ribosomal RNA", at positions 57 to 1161 of the family's 1533-position model. The record is from RNAcentral. Lineage: Bacteria; Pseudomonadati; Pseudomonadota; Gammaproteobacteria; Vibrionales; Vibrionaceae.